This 237-nucleotide long non-coding RNA is filed under the name Carica papaya (papaya). RNAcentral's name for it is "long non-coding RNA (CPAP_LNC011343)". Lineage: Eukaryota; Viridiplantae; Streptophyta; Magnoliopsida; Brassicales; Caricaceae. The record is from RNAcentral.
GGCCCAGAUCAAAGGCGCGCGCGGACAGCCUAGAUCUCACGCGUGCGAACGGUCCAGAUUUGAUCACGCACGGACGGCCCAGAUCGCAUCGCGAUGGACGGCUCAGAUUAAUUUCUAAUUUAAUCGCGAUCGGACGACCCAAAUUAAAUCAUGAUGGACGGCUCAGAUUAAAAGGGGAGAGUUAUAAAUAAUCGCAUCCACACCCAACCCCAAACCCUAGCCGCCAGAACCCUCGCC